UCCUAUUCGGUGAUCAGGACUGAACACAGACCACUCACCAUGGAGUUUGGGCUGAGCUGGGUUUUCCUUAUUGCCAUUUUAAGAGGUGUCCAGUGUGAGGUGCAGCUGGUGGAGUCUGGGGGAGGCUUGGUGAAGCCUGGGGGGUCUCUGAGACUCUCCUGUGCAGCCUCUGGAUUCACCUUCAGCAGCUAUGUCAUGCACUGGGUCCGCCAGGCUCCAGGGAAGGGACUAGAGUGGGUCUCAUACCUUAAUAAAGAUAGUAGUAGCACAAACUACGCUGACUCCGUGAAGGGCCAAUUCACCAUCUCCAGAGACAACUCCAAGAACACCCUGUAUCUGCAAAUGAACAGCCUGAGAACGGAGGACACGGCCGUGUAUUACUGUGCAACAGACACAGUGAGAGGAAGUCAGUGUGAGCCCAGACAAAAACCUCCCUGCAGGAGGGGAUCGGGACCACCAGGGGCGCUCAGGGCCUGCACACAAGGACCAUCACAGAGGCAGAAGAGGACGGAGUAA
Molecule: non-coding RNA, 516 nt
Organism: Diceros bicornis minor
Lineage: Eukaryota; Metazoa; Chordata; Mammalia; Perissodactyla; Rhinocerotidae
Source: the annotation of a RefSeq genome assembly